GUCUAAGCAGUAAACGAUGAAUACUAAAUGCAAGAUAAAAAUUUUGUGUUGAAGAUAACUCGAUAAGUAUUCCGCCUGAGUACUACGAUCGCAAGAUUAAAAUUCAAAAUAUUUGACGGUUCCUAAAUUCCAGCCGGAGGAGCAUGUGGUUUAAUUCGAUAACCCGCGAGAAACCUUACCUAAUUUGGUUCAAUAGUUAAUAAAACAAUAUUUAUAUUGAUCAGAUGCUGCAUGACUGCCGU
This 242-nucleotide ribosomal RNA is filed under the name uncultured bacterium. RNAcentral's name for it is "partial 16S ribosomal RNA". It matches the Rfam family "Bacterial small subunit ribosomal RNA", at positions 793 to 1055 of the family's 1533-position model. The record is from RNAcentral.